Molecule: ribosomal RNA, 247 nt
Filed under: uncultured Actinomycetes bacterium
Lineage: Bacteria; Bacillati; Actinomycetota; Actinomycetes
Description: uncultured actinobacterium partial 16S ribosomal RNA
Rfam family: Bacterial small subunit ribosomal RNA
Source: RNAcentral
GACGAACGCUGGCGGCGUGCUUAGCACAUGCAAGUCGAGCGGUAAGGCCCUUUCGGGGGUACACGAGCGGCGAACGGGUGAGUAACACGUGGGUGACCUGCCCUCAGCUCUGGGAUAAGCCUGGGAAACCGGGUCUAAUACUGGAUAUGACUCCAUGACGCAUGUUGUGGGGUGGAAAGCCUUGUGCGGCUGAGGAUGGGCCCGCGGCCUAUCAGCUUGUUGGUGGGGUGAUAGCCUACCAAGGCGA